UCCCGCCAUCUGCCUUCUCGCCCUCCGUCUUGUCCUUCUUCUUCUUCUUCU
Molecule: ribosomal RNA, 51 nt
Filed under: Rhodosorus marinus
Lineage: Eukaryota; Rhodophyta; Stylonematophyceae; Stylonematales; Stylonemataceae
Description: partial Eukaryotic large subunit ribosomal RNA
Source: RNAcentral